CCUACGGGAGGCAGCAGAGGGGAAUAUUGGACAAUGGGGGCAACCCUGAUCCAGCCAUGCCGCGUGUGUGAAGAAGGCCCUCGGGUUGUAAAGCACUUUCAGUGAGGAAGAACGCCUGGUGGUUAAUACCCAUCAGGAAAGACAUCACUCACAGAAGAAGCACCGGCUAACUCCGUGCCAGCAGCCGCGGUAAUACGGAGGGUGCGAGCGUUAAUCGGAAUUACUGGGCGUAAAGCGCGCGUAGGUGGCUUGAUAAGCCGGUUGUGAAAGCCCCGGGCUCAACCUGGGAACGGCAUCCGGAACUGUCAAGCUAGAGUGCAGGAGAGGAAGGUAGAAUUCCCGGUGUAGCGGUGAAAUGCGUAGAGAUCGGGAGGAAUGCCAGUGGCGAAGGCGGCCUUCUGGACUGACACUGACACUGAGGUGCGAAAGCGUGGGUAGCAAACAGGAUUAGAUACCCUAGUAGUC
RNAcentral lists this ribosomal RNA (465 nucleotides) under Vreelandella stevensii. RNAcentral's name for it is "partial 16S ribosomal RNA". It matches the Rfam family "Bacterial small subunit ribosomal RNA", at positions 338 to 795 of the family's 1533-position model. Lineage: Bacteria; Pseudomonadati; Pseudomonadota; Gammaproteobacteria; Oceanospirillales; Halomonadaceae. The record is from RNAcentral.